This 306-nucleotide unclassified non-coding RNA is filed under the name plant metagenome. RNAcentral describes it as "partial contains 5.8S ribosomal RNA, internal transcribed spacer 2, and large subunit ribosomal RNA". The stretch from base 1 to 105 matches the Rfam family "5.8S ribosomal RNA", at positions 50 to 154 of the family's 154-position model. The record is from RNAcentral.
GAAAUACGAUAAAUAAUAUAAAUUAUAGAAUUUAGUGAAUCAUCAAAUCUUUAAACGCACAUUACGCCCCUCAGUAUUCUAUAGGGCAUACCUAUUCAAGCGUCAUCUACACCCUCAAGCUCUACUUAGUAUUAGGCGUCUAUCCCACCUUCGCGCAUAGACUCGCCCUAAAUGUAUUAAUAGUGGUCCUUGCCCCCUCCCACGCAGCACAUUACGCUUCUCGAGGCUAUGGCGGCCCACGUCCAACAAGCUAAACCCCCCCAUCUUUAACCUCAGAUUAGGUAGGGAUACCCGCUAAACUUAAGC